CAGCCCCCACCCCACCCGGUGGAAGUCCGAGGCCUGAGGGGGGGCAUCGAGCGGGGCGUGGGAGGCCCGCACGCUCCCCACCCCCAGCCGCGACCCGGAGGAGGGGAACGUGCCGGGAGGCUCGAGUCCCCCUCCCAGAGUGCUCUGGGCCGGAGAAACCUCCCGCAGGCUCCCGGGCCAGGCGUGCAAGGCCCCCUCUCCUGCCAGGGCCCAGGACGCUGCGGGCCCCAGCGGAGGGGAAGGGGACUAAGUAGGGGAAGAAGCUGUAAACAGCCCCAGCGUCCGGGCCUCGCCUCGAAGAGCCGCGCUUCCCAGGCCCAGCCGCGGGCCGCCCAGGCCCCCAGCCUGCCCCGGGGCCGCCGCGCCCGGGGUCCGGGACACCGGAGGGGAGUCGGGUCCCCUCCCCGGAGAGCUCCGGGAGCUCGCGGAGCGGCCCCAGGAGCAGAGAAGGGGGAAGUCAGGACUUACCUGUCAUUACUUUCUACGCCAUCUUGGAUCCACUUGUCAACGUCCCCACAAAGCAUUAUGGUGUGUGCAUCCAAGCCCAACCUUGUCAAAUACACCGCCUGUUGCCUGAGCUGGGACGGCCUGCCGACUCUUCUCCCUGCCCCUCCUGGAUACCUACAAUGCAUCCUCCACCUGACCAACCCUGUGAUAUUUUAUGAAUGUAAAUCAGAUCGAGACUUCUCUGCUGAAACCUUGGAAUAAAACCCAGAUUCCCAACCCUGGCCUACAAGCUCCUGUGUGAGGUGGUCCCACCUUCCCUCACCAGCAGUGGUCCAGGCUGGCCUUCUCUCUUUCCCUGCAGCGCCCCAAGCUUCCUUCCAGUGAGAACCCUAUUCCCCCAGAUCUUCUGAUUAUCUUUUCUUUGACAGAGUCUUGUUCUGUCGACCAGGCUAGAGUGCAGUAGCGCGAUCUCAAUUCACUGCAACCUCCGCCUUCUAGGUUCAAGCUGUUCUCUGCCUCAACCUCCUGAGUAGCUGGGAUUACAGGCGUCCGCCACCGCGCCCGGCUCAUUUUUGUAUUUUUAGUAGAGACAGGGUUUCACCAUCUUGGCCAGGGUGAUCUUGAACUACUGACCUCGUGAUCCAUGCGCCUUGGCCUCCCAAAGUGCUGGGAUUACAGGCGUGAGCCACCACGCCCGACCCAUCAUCUUUUCAUCAUAUUUAGGUCCCCUCAAAGAGGACUUUUGUGAUCCCCCUACCCAGACCAAGUCACUCUGAACACUUGACCUGUGUUAGAAGUUCUCUUGUUUAGGUCGGACGCUGUGGCUCAUGCCUGUAAUCCCAGCACUUUGGGAGGCCAAGGUGGGUGGAUCACAAGGUCAGGAGUUCAAGACCAGCCUGGCCAAGAUGGUGAAACCCUGUCUCUACUAAAGGUACAAAAAUUACAGCGCGCCUGUAAUCCCAGCUACUCGGGAGGCUGAGGCAGGAGAAUUGCUUGAACCUGGGGGGCCAAGGUUGCAGUGAGCCAAGAUCGUGCCACUGCCCUCCAGCCUGGGUGACAGAGUGAGAAUUCCAUCUCAAAAAAAAAGUUCUCUUGUUUGCCUGUUGUUAGUUGUUUCUUAUCUGCCCCGCCCCCAUUUGAUCAUAUGCUCCCUCUGGGCACAGGCUCUGUCUGGCUUAUUUGCCUCAGUGACUAGACCAGGGCCUGGCACAUACAUAGACGCUCACCAAGUAUUAGUCGAGUACAUGACCAAACUUCUCUCAGGGAUGGGCGUGUUGAUGAAAAGGAGUGCUAAAGUGUGAAGUGAGAUGCUGAGGGCCCUGCCUCGCAUCUCUUCAGACCACUGACCACACACAGCUAGAGGCAGGCAGAAAGGAACAGUGUUGAGGGAAAACAGGUCCCUUGGCCACCACUGAUUUAGCUCAAUUCUGAUUCUGAUCUCAUGAACACACACAGCCCUAACUAACUGAUCCCCCCGACAUCACAUCCCUCUUCCUUCCCACAUUUUUUCUUUCUCCUCUGCUCCCACUGGCCGUGGCUUCUUUUCUUUUCUUUUUUUUUUUUUUUUUUGAAACAGUGUCUUUCUCUGUCACCCAGGCCGGAGUGCAGUGGCGCGAUCUUGGCUCACUGCAACCUCCACCUCCUGGGUUCAAGCGAUUCUCCUGCCUCAGCCUCCCGAAUGCUGGCACCACAGGCACACACCACCACGCCCAGGUAAUUUUUGUAUUUUUAGUAGAGACAGGGUUUCACCAUGUUAACUAGGCUGGUCUCGAACUCCUAGCCUGAAGUGACCCACCCGCCUCGGCUU
Molecule: long non-coding RNA, 2254 nt
Filed under: Homo sapiens (human)
Lineage: Eukaryota; Metazoa; Chordata; Mammalia; Primates; Hominidae
Description: HSALNT0244150
Source: RNAcentral